This 510-nucleotide ribosomal RNA is filed under the name uncultured bacterium. RNAcentral describes it as "partial 16S ribosomal RNA". It matches the Rfam family "Bacterial small subunit ribosomal RNA", at positions 28 to 507 of the family's 1533-position model. The record is from RNAcentral.
GACGAACGCUGGCGGCGUGCUUAACACAUGCAAGUCGAACGAAGAGCGAUGGAAGCUUGCUUCUAUCAAUCUUAGUGGCGAACGGGUGAGUAACGCGUAAUCAACCUGCCCUUCAGAGGGGGACAACAGUUGGAAACGACUGCUAAUACCGCAUACGAUCUAAUCUCGGCAUCGAGGAUAGAUGAAAGGUGGCCUCUACAUGUAAGCUAUCACUGAAGGAGGGGAUUGCGUCUGAUUAGCUAGUUGGAGGGGUAACGGCCCACCAAGGCGAUGAUCAGUAGCCGGUCUGAGGGGAUGAACGGCCACAUUGGGACUGAGACACGGCCCAGACUCCUACGGGAGGCAGCAGUGGGGAAUCUUCCGCAAUGGACGAAAGUCUGACGGAGCAACGCCGCGUGAGCGAUGACGGCCUUCGGGUUGUAAAGCUCUGUUAAUCGGGACGAAAGGCCUUCUUGCGAAUAGUGAGAAGGAUUGACGGUACCGGAAUAGAAAGCCACGGCUAACUACGUG